Long non-coding RNA from Arachis duranensis, 246 nucleotides. RefSeq lists it as uncharacterized. NCBI's taxonomy places the organism in Eukaryota, Viridiplantae, Streptophyta, Magnoliopsida, Fabales, Fabaceae. The transcript has 3 exons. The record is from RefSeq and is a predicted model, not a curated record.
CAAAAUCAUUACGGGGUGUUUUUGUUGAGACCAACCAAAGUGAGCUGUCAGCAUUCAUAUCAUAUGCAUUGGCAUUUCCUAAUAACUUUCUUGCCCUUGUAGACACUUAUGAUGUCAUACGAAGUGGAAUCCCCAACUUCUGUGCAGUUGCAUUAGCUCUCAAUGAGUUAGGAUACAAAGCAAUUGGCAUUAGACUGGACUCUGGUGACCUUGCCUAUUUGUCUUGUCAAGCCAGGAAGAUCUUUU